RNAcentral lists this ribosomal RNA (497 nucleotides) under uncultured bacterium. RNAcentral's name for it is "partial 16S ribosomal RNA". It matches the Rfam family "Bacterial small subunit ribosomal RNA", at positions 28 to 507 of the family's 1533-position model. The record is from RNAcentral.
GAUGAACGCUGGCGGCGUGCCUAAUACAUGCAAGUCGAGCGAACGGACGAGAAGCUUGCUUCUCUGAUGUUAGCGGCGGACGGGUGAGUAACACGUGGAUAACCUACCUAUAAGACUGGGAUAACUUCGGGAAACCGGAGCUAAUACCGGAUAAUAUUUUGAACCGCAUGGUUCAAAAGUGAAAGACGGUCUUGCUGUCACUUAUAGAUGGAUCCGCGCUGCAUUAGCUAGUUGGUAAGGUAACGGCUUACCAAGGCAACGAUGCAUAGCCGACCUGAGAGGGUGAUCGGCCACACUGGAACUGAGACACGGUCCAGACUCCUACGGGAGGCAGCAGUAGGGAAUCUUCCGCAAUGGGCGAAAGCCUGACGGAGCAACGCCGCGUGAGUGAUGAAGGUCUUCGGAUCGUAAAACUCUGUUAUUAUGGAAGAACAAAUGUGUAAGUAACUGUGCACAUCUUGACGGUACCUAAUCAGAAAGCCACGGCUAACUACGUG